UACAGAGGGUGCGAGCGUUGUUCGGAAUUACUGGGCGUAAAGGGCGCGUAGGCGGCCUUCUAAGUCGGACGUGAAAUCCCCGGGCUCAACCCGGGAACUGCGUCCGAUACUGGAGGGCUUGAAUCCGGGAGAGGGAUGUGGAAUUCCAGGUGUAGCGGUGAAAUGCGUAGAUAUCUGGAGGAACACCGGUGGCGAAGGCGACAUCCUGGACCGGUAUUGACGCUGAGGCGCGAAAGCCAGGGGAGCAAACGGG
This 253-nucleotide ribosomal RNA is filed under the name uncultured bacterium. RNAcentral describes it as "partial 16S ribosomal RNA". It matches the Rfam family "Bacterial small subunit ribosomal RNA", at positions 524 to 776 of the family's 1533-position model. The record is from RNAcentral.